This 76-nucleotide transfer RNA is filed under the name Tenacibaculum sp. Its description in RNAcentral is "tRNA-Lys". It matches the Rfam family "tRNA". Rfam says of the family: Transfer RNA (tRNA) molecules are approximately 80 nucleotides in length. Their secondary structure includes four short double-helical elements and three loops (D, anti-codon, and T loops). Lineage: Bacteria; Pseudomonadati; Bacteroidota; Flavobacteriia; Flavobacteriales; Flavobacteriaceae. The record is from RNAcentral.
GGAUUCAUAGCUCAGUUGGUAGAGCACUCGCCUCUUAAGCGAUAGGUCCCGGGUUCGAACCCCGGUGAAUCCACCA